RNAcentral lists this ribosomal RNA (444 nucleotides) under uncultured bacterium. RNAcentral's name for it is "partial 16S ribosomal RNA". It matches the Rfam family "Bacterial small subunit ribosomal RNA", at positions 338 to 795 of the family's 1533-position model. The record is from RNAcentral.
CCUACGGGGGGCAGCAGUUUCGAAUCAUUCACAAUGGGCGAAAGCCUGAUGGUGCGACGCCGCGUGAGGGAUGAAGGCCUUCGGGUUGUAAACCUCUGUCACUGGGGAAGAAACGCUUCAAGUUAAUAGCUUGAAGCCUGACUUAACCCAGAGAGGAAGCAGUGGCUAACUCUGUGCCAGCAGCCGCGGUAAUACAGAGACUGCAAGCGUAAUGGGGGCUCAGGCGGCGUAAAGGGUGCGCAGGCAGCCCCCGGGGCUUAACCUCGGAAUUGCGCCUAAAACUACACGGCUAGAGCAUUGGAGAGGGUAGCGGAAUUCACGGUGUAGCAGUGAAAUGCGUAGAUAUCGUGAGGAACACCAGAGGCGAAGGCGGCUACCUGGACAAUUGCUGACGCUCAGGCACGAAAGCGUGGGGAGCAAAAGGGAUUAGAUACCCCAGUAGUC